Sciurus carolinensis (gray squirrel) is the source of this 409-nucleotide long non-coding RNA. RefSeq lists it as uncharacterized. The transcript is spliced from 3 exons. The record is from RefSeq and is a predicted model, not a curated record. NCBI's taxonomy places the organism in Eukaryota, Metazoa, Chordata, Mammalia, Rodentia, Sciuridae.
AAGCAAAUGAUUCCAAAGCACAGAUGAUAAUGGAGUCUCGUGAUGGAAAGGGCUUUGAUCCCUGAGUUGCUACUUGGAGGACAGCUGCCUGGGAUUGCCCAAGAACAUCCAUACUGGACUUUCUGCAGCAUAAGGAAUGGACUUCCUAUCUUAAGACAAUAAUAAAACUAAAGGAGAGAGAAUGUCAAAGUCUUGCCAUGUCCAUACAGUUAGAAAGUGAUGGAAUAAAAAUUCAACUUCCGGCAGUCUAACCUUAUUCCACCUUGUAAUCUCUACACCAUUCUGCCUCACCGGGUUGUGGAAAGAUUAAUUAAAUUCAUACAGUAUUCAGAUCUAUUAUUGGAGCCCACUCACAUAGCCGAUUAGCCUGACGUGUACAGUGAAGUCUCACCUGAGAUUUUGCCAGAAU